RNAcentral lists this ribosomal RNA (447 nucleotides) under uncultured bacterium. RNAcentral describes it as "bacterial SSU rRNA". It matches the Rfam family "Bacterial small subunit ribosomal RNA", at positions 355 to 825 of the family's 1533-position model. The record is from RNAcentral.
UCGGGAAUUUUGGGCAAUGGGGGAAACCCUGAUCCAGCAACGCCGCGUGAAGGAUGAAGUAUUUCGGUAUGUAAACUUCGAAAGAAUAGGAAGAAUAAAUGACGGUACUAUUUAUAAGGUCCGGCUAACUACGUGCCAGCAGCCGCGGUAAUACGUAGGGACCAAGCGUUGUUCGGAUUUACUGGGCGUAAAGGGCGCGUAGGCGGCAUGACAAGUCACUUGUGAAAUCUCUGGGCUUAACCCAGAACGGCCAAGUGAUACUGUCGCGCUAGAGUGCAGAAGGGGCAAUCGGAAUUCUUGGUGUAGCGGUGAAAUGCGUAGAUAUCAAGAGGAACACCUGAGGUGAAGACGGGUUGCUGGGCUGACACUGACGCUGAGGCGCGAAAGCCAGGGGAGCAAACGGGAUUAGAUACCCCAGUAGUCCCUGAGCGGGCUGGCAAGGCGCAU